GGACUGUAGCUCAGUGAUAAAGCACCUGCUCUUCAUGCAAAAUGUCCCAGGUUCAAUCCCUGGCAUCUCCA
Molecule: non-coding RNA, 71 nt
Organism: Podarcis lilfordi (Lilford's wall lizard)
Lineage: Eukaryota; Metazoa; Chordata; Lepidosauria; Squamata; Lacertidae
Source: the annotation of a GenBank genome assembly